Molecule: transfer RNA, 73 nt
Filed under: Stegodyphus mimosarum
Lineage: Eukaryota; Metazoa; Arthropoda; Arachnida; Araneae; Eresidae
Rfam family: tRNA
About the family: Transfer RNA (tRNA) molecules are approximately 80 nucleotides in length.
Source: Rfam by way of RNAcentral
GCCUACGUAGUGUAGUGGCCAGCACAUUCGGUGCGUAUUCGAGAGGUCCAUGGUUCGAGUCCUGGCGAGGGCA